CUCUGUGUCCAGGCCACCUCUUGUCCUCUCUGUGUUCCGGGCCACACCCCAUCGCUUUUGGAGCCACACCUCCUGCAAGUCAUGUGACUCACUGACCCGAGAUCCUGGAUGAUUCUGAUGAGCAGACAAGAUGAAGAAGCCUUGGGAGAGAGGAUGGUUUGUGGUGCUCUGUGGACCCUUUCUGGAAGCUCCGGAGAAGAUCUGGAAAGCUUGAUGCUUGGUUCUGACACCAACACAAGUAGACCUCAUGAUUACUUAGGUCUGAAGUCUAGUGACACAGUAACAGAGGAUUUUAAUGAGAUCCAGAGAUGUUCUCCUAAUCGUUCACUCCAGUUGAAGUUAUUGCAGAAAGAACAGUGUCAAGGAAUCCACACAUUGCAUAUUCCUGCCAUGGAGCUGUGAUUGUUUCAAUAAAGGGCACAGGAAAAAAGGAAGUUAAGUAGAGCCCAUAACUGCCUUACUCU
This 464-nucleotide long non-coding RNA is filed under the name Mustela putorius furo (domestic ferret). RNAcentral describes it as "lncRNA (ENSMPUG00000025975.1)". Lineage: Eukaryota; Metazoa; Chordata; Mammalia; Carnivora; Mustelidae. The record is from RNAcentral.